GGGCCCGCACAAGCGGUGGAGUAUGUGGUUUAAUUCGAUGCAACGCGAAGAACCUUACCAGGGUUUGACAUCCUGCGAAUCUCUUGGAAACAGGAAAGUGCCUUCGGGAGCGCAGUGACAGGUGGUGCAUGGCUGUCGUCAGCUCGUGUCGUGAGAUGUUGGGUUAAGUCCCGCAACGAGCGCAACCCACGUCUUUAGUUGCCAGCAUUUAGUUGGGUACCCUAAGGAGACUGCCGGUGAUAAGCCGGAGGAAGGUGUGGACGACGUCAAGUCAUCAUGGCCCUUACGGGUUGGGCUACACACGUGCUACAAUGGCAUCUACAGUGAGUUAAUCUCCAAAGAUGUCUCAGU
RNAcentral lists this ribosomal RNA (351 nucleotides) under uncultured bacterium. Its description in RNAcentral is "bacterial SSU rRNA". It matches the Rfam family "Bacterial small subunit ribosomal RNA", at positions 917 to 1292 of the family's 1533-position model. The record is from RNAcentral.